RNAcentral lists this ribosomal RNA (542 nucleotides) under Betta macrostoma (spotfin betta). Its description in RNAcentral is "partial 16S ribosomal RNA". It matches the Rfam family "Bacterial large subunit ribosomal RNA", at positions 1856 to 2597 of the family's 2925-position model. The record is from RNAcentral. Lineage: Eukaryota; Metazoa; Chordata; Actinopteri; Anabantiformes; Osphronemidae.
UGCCUGCCCUGUGACAAUUGUUUAACGGCCGCGGUACCCUAACCGUGCAAAGGUAGCGCAAUCACUUGUCUUUUAAAUGAAGACCCGUAUGAAUGGCACAACGAGGGUUUAACUGUCUCCUUUUUCCAGUCAAUGAAAUUGAUCCCCCCGUGCAGAAGCGGGGAUACUACCAUAAGACGAGAAGACCCUGUGGAGCUUCAGACACGAAAGCAGACCUUGUUAAAUACUUUAAAACAAAAGAAAAACAUAAAAGGAACCCUGCCCUAAUGUCUUUGGUUGGGGCGACCACGGGGUAAUAAAGAACCCCCAUGUGGAUUGAGAAGGUACUUCUUAAAACUAAGAACUGCCGUUCUAACUAACAGAACUUCUGACCUAUAGAUCCGGCAAUGCCGAUCAACGGACCGAGUUACCCCAGGGAUAACAGCGCAAUCCUCUUUUAGAGUUCAUAUCGACAAGAGGGUUUACGACCUCGAUGUUGGAUCAGGACAUCCUAAUGGUGCAGCAGCUAUUAAGGGUUCGUUUGUUCAACGAUUAACAGUCCU